CCGCCUCAAUCCGCAGCCCCCAAACGUUCGUCCUCACCGAACGCCCGCCCGAGACCGGAACCGGAAGCGCGGGCGGCGCCGUGGAUGGAGCGGGCGAUCUUAGCGACACGAAAAGCAUCCGUGGAGCUCAAGUUUGAUGUGAAACCAGGCUCAGGGUCCACCUGUCCUCGCUGAUCCAUGGAUUUCUGUGUGACCAGGUCCCAGGCUGGACAGAGAGUGACUCUACUGGGAGCUGAGCCAUGAGACUCAGCGCGUCACCUACCUGGGCUCCUUCACCCUGGACUGGGACAGCCUCUACUUCAGUGGUUACACCUAUGGAGCCGUGGCCCCAACUACCACCAGUGAGUAUUCCUGGCCCUGGUCUCCUGUGUCCCGUCUGCAUUUGUAGUUUGGGAGCACUUGUUCUCCUUCAUCUGCUGUCCUUGCUCCCGAGCCGGCCACCACGUCCCUGCAUACUUGAUCAUCACCUGAGCCACCAGAAGCCACCACAGGUAUCUGGGGGCCCCUUUUCCUUCCCAAGAGAAGCUCUCUGGCCCCACUCCCCAUGAGCCAGGUUUGAUCCAGGAGGUGGGAAGCCAGGGUAUGAAAUUCUGGUUUUAGGACAAUCAUGCUGAUCACAAAGAUUAUACCAACGAUUCAGUCUAAGGCCAGCUCUCAGAGAGCCCCUAGUCUUGUGAAAUUAACACACCAUUAUAAUACAAUGUGGGAUAUUUCGGGGAGAGGCACCUGGCAUAAUUUGG
Long non-coding RNA from Diceros bicornis minor, 740 nucleotides. RefSeq lists it as uncharacterized. NCBI's taxonomy places the organism in Eukaryota, Metazoa, Chordata, Mammalia, Perissodactyla, Rhinocerotidae. The record is from RefSeq and is a predicted model, not a curated record. The transcript is spliced from 5 exons.